GGUUAUGUGGAGGCAGUGAGUUAUCUCAACUGAUUGUUCAGUGAAUUACAGAUUCAACUCCUCCUUCUAUUCUUUCCCUACUUCUCAAUACUGUACUUAACUAGUCCUUA
Molecule: unclassified non-coding RNA, 110 nt
Organism: Pan paniscus (pygmy chimpanzee)
Lineage: Eukaryota; Metazoa; Chordata; Mammalia; Primates; Hominidae
Rfam family: Y RNA
About the family: Y RNAs are components of the Ro ribonucleoprotein particle (Ro RNP), in association with Ro60 and La proteins. The Y RNAs and Ro60 and La proteins are well conserved, but the function of the Ro RNP is not known. In humans the RNA component can be one of four small RNAs -- hY1, hY3, hY4 and hY5.
Source: Ensembl